This 77-nucleotide transfer RNA is filed under the name Cylindrotheca closterium. RNAcentral describes it as "Selenocysteine transfer RNA". It matches the Rfam family "Selenocysteine transfer RNA", at positions 7 to 85 of the family's 91-position model. The record is from RNAcentral. Lineage: Eukaryota; Bacillariophyta; Bacillariophyceae; Bacillariales; Bacillariaceae.
GUAUGAUCCUGCCUGGUGGUGGGUCAAGGCUUCAAACCUUGGGACGCCUAGCGGCGUAGUUGUUCGAUUCAACCUUG